Molecule: long non-coding RNA, 6004 nt
Filed under: Sus scrofa (pig)
Lineage: Eukaryota; Metazoa; Chordata; Mammalia; Artiodactyla; Suidae
Description: lncRNA (ENSSSCG00000056988.1)
Source: RNAcentral
GAGCAGAUGGGUCAUAUUCUUUAUAAUGAAUGGGGGACACGAUGUUUUAUGUCCAUAUUUCGGAUUAAAAGCUAACAUGAUGAAUAAUUUGAAAAUGCUUUCUAAGCAUCUCUGUGAGAAAAGGAAUUGUAGUUAACACAAAGGGUGAGCGUUACCAAAGGAACAUAGACGUGUUCAUUUGUGUACGGCUUGUCCCUGGCCACUUUCUCAACAUAAAGGCGAAGGUGAGGAGGACUGUGUUCUGCAAAGUCUAAAAUCCUUCUGAUCCUCUGUAGAACACCUUGACUGACACCUGCUUAAGACUGCUGAAUUGCAAAGUUAAAAAUAGAGACGACACCCAAGAAUUUUUUUCAGAAUGAAAUUCUAGCAUUCUGUUUUCAACUUAAAAUGAGACACGGUGUCUAAAGUGCUUUUGCCUCCCUUUGGUCAUCUAAAUUAAUGGUAACUAACAAUGAGUACUAUGUAUGCCACUGGUAUUUUAAAGAAAACCCAAGUAAAGUUCUUUCUUGGGUACAUGCACGCCUGUGUGUGUGUGUGUGUGUGUGUGUCUGUCUGUCUGUCUGUGUGUCUGCCCACAUGUCUGUGUGUUUAAUAGAAAAAGAUUUCUGAGUAUAAAAUUUAUUUAUUUAUUUAUUUAUUUUUGCCUUUUUGCCUUUUCCAGGGCUGCACCUGCAGCUUAUGGUGGUUCGUUCCCAGGCUAGGGGUCUAAUCGGAGCUGUAGCUGCUGGCCUAUGCCACAGCCACAGCAAUGCCAGAUCUGAGCUGCAUCUGCGACCUACAUCACAGCUCACAGCAACGCCGGAUCCUUAACCCACUGAGCGAGGCCGGGGAUCGAACCCACUACCUCUUGGUUCCUAGUCGGAUUCGUUAACCACUGAGCCACGACGGGAACUCCAUGACAAGUUUCAAAAGUAAGAAAUUCCUCAGAUGCUUUAGGAAAGAGCCAGUACUUUUCCUUAUGUGGGACCUCUUUCUUUCCUAGCAUCACUUUUACGUAGGUGGAUUUGCAGUGUCCACCAUCCUUGUCCAUAUCCCCCAAAGCGGUGUGAGGGCCUACUUAGGAGAGGAAUGUUACAGCUGCUGGUGAAUGUAUCUUACAGAUAAGUCUACAAGUUUAAAAUAAGUCAAAGUUUCAGAUGAUCUACAAGAUUACAAGAUAAGUCAAACUGAUUUGUCCUUUUAUUGGAGAUGAUCAACAUAUGCUGAAGUAUAUGUGAAGAAGAUAAUCUGAUUCAGUACAUGAGAUUCAGCAAAGAAAUUACAGUUUUUCUAUAACUAAAUCAGACCUAAUUGUUUUCUUUUACUUUCCCUAAAUUAUUUUUACAUACAUACAUUGGUUUUUGUUUUGUUUUGUUUUGUUUGUCUUUUUAGGGCUGCAUGCGGAGCACAUGGAAGUGUCCAGGCUUGGGGUCAAAUAGGAGCUGCAACUGUCGGUCUACACCAUAGCCAGAGCAAUGCAGGAUUCUUUACCCACUGAGUGAGGCCAGACAUCAAACUCUCAUCCUCACAGAUACUAGUCGGGUUCAUUACUGCUGAGCCACCAGAGGAACUCCUGCGUAUGUUGUUUAAAAGUACCACCUCUACUGUCUCUCUCAGUCAGCACACUGUUGGAAAGUGAAACUUAAUUUGGCCGUUAUUAAAAAGCAGCUUUUAAGACUGAAUGCAUCUGAGAUUUUUUUAGAGUGCCACAGAUGUGGUUCUAUUUCUAAAAAGAAACUUUUCCUAACUAGAAUCCAUUCGCCAAUGCCAAAUUAAACAUUGUGGUCAUAUACAGCAUGAGAAAAAAAAUUGUGCAUCUUUUCUAGAAAUUCUGACUUUCAUGUCUUGUGUUUUUCUUUUGAAAGUCCAAGAGUAAUCUGAAUGCCCAUCACCUACCAUACUGAAUACUUAUUAUUAAUCAUGAUUUACUUAUAAAGGUCUUCUGUUAAGUGAACAAGGGCUCAGUAUGUGGAAUGGCAGCUUGAUUUUCCUUCUUUUGACAUCUGUUAAAAAUGAGCUAUGAUAUCAUCAAUCAUAUUAACUCUGUGGUAUUGUGUUAUUCCUUGGGUGUUCCCAGAUUUCAUCUGACAACUUUUUCUAGGAGUCAAACCAUAAACACUUACUCCAGAGACUGUAAUGAGAGGUACAGAUAAAAAUCCAGGGACUGGAACUGAUUAAAAACAAAAAAUAAAAAAACUCCAAACAUAGUUUUUACACUCCUUCUUCCUCCAGCUACAAAAUUAGUUCUUCACCUUAAUCGCCUAUAAGAAACCAGGAAAAAAAAAACCCUGAAAAUUUAAAGAAAUGAAGUUAAUUACCAGAGACAGAAUGGAGAAAAGAAUAGAGAAAAGUUUUAGAACAAUAUUAAAUUUAUCCUGAAAUAAUACAAAGUAGUAUGAGAAAGUAUGUAUCAUCAUCAGUUUGAGUAGAAUAUAAUAAUCUGCACAGCCAUAACUAAAAUAGUGGUAGUGCUUUAAGAAUAAUGAUUGUAUCACUUUAAGAAUAAUGAAGUAUUUUAUUGACAAUUUCUAGGAGUAUUUGCUUUAUACAACAAGGAACAAUGAAUAAAACAGUUUUGUUUAAACCAAUGACCUUCAUGGGAAAAUAGCAGUGUAUUUCCUCAUACUUAGAACAUUCUAUUUCUCUUUUUUGAUACCUAUGCACAACCCAAGACUACAGAACCCAACUCUCAAGGACAUGUCAAACGUUGCCUGUGUUUAAAGCUCCUUAAUACCUAUUAAGAUUAUAAACAACAGUAGAGUAUAAGGAGCACUUUGUCAUAGUAAUUUAUAUGUACACUGAAUUUAACAAAUUUGGCUGAGUACUUUCCAGUUCCAUUUAUAUUAAAUAAAUUCAUACAUUUUUAUUAUUACACAUCAAAAGGAAAGAACUGUAACAAAAUUUACCAAGAACUUUGUGAGGAAACUAGCAAUUUUUCACCCCAUUUAUUUCUUAUUCUUCUUGCCAGGAUGUAGCUAUGCUAACAUUUAUGCUCAGCCAUGUGACUGACUCUUGGCCAAUUGGAUAGACAGGUGGAAGUGAUGUCUAUCAUUUCUAGGCUUGGCCCAUGCAAACUACCCACAUGCCAGUUUCUACGUUCUUUCCUCUUUCAUGAUGACCUUGGAAACUAUUUGUGGAACCUGGUGGAACCACAGGGUGGAAUGGGGUCAGCUCUCUGAAACAUGGAAAAGAGCCAUUUAGCAAUCAAGGACACUUGUCUUGGACCUUAAGUGAUCAAGUAAUAAACCACUGAUACUUAGGAGUUUAUUUAUUGGAACAGCUAGAGUUACCUUUGUUACUACAGUUUAGACUAAUUUAGAUAUGAUUCAAAAGUGUUUAUUAUGUUUGGAUACGACGUGUCUCUGGAAACAUUGGACCAAAGUUAUUUUCUAAUAAUUCCCACAAAGUAACUGAAGUCAUAGUGAAAAGCCCAUUUUCUUGUGACCUACUAGCCAGCAUUGAUAUGAGAAAUUGAAUAAUGAGAAUAAAAAUAACAAAGAAAUAAGACAAAGCUUAAGGAGUCUUUUUAACAACCAGCUGCCUCAUCUUUCCAUUGUAGAAAUAUGUUGGGAGAAAUUCCAGUUACUUACGGCCUCUACAAAGCUAUGGAAGGUUUUGAAAGUUGGUUCUUACAUACAAAGCAAUGGAAGGUUUUGAAAGUUGGUUCUUAGGUUCAGACCAUGAGAAGGAACUGGCUUCCAAAAGAAUGAUUUCUAGUUCUAUAUAGCUUUUGCAUCACACUUAACCCAUAGUAUAAUUGGCCUUCUUUACUUAAUUGAAGGUAGUGACCAUAGGGGAAUAAGGAAGAAAUAAUCACAAAUAUUCACUUUGACUCAAGUUUUAUGACCCAGCCCACCAUUAUCAUUCUGUUCAUUUUAAAAAUCCACCUUUCUGGACAUGCCAGCAUCCUUUUAAUUUUUCUCCAAGCGCCCUAAAAGUAGUUACAAAAAGAAGUAAAAGUUAUAGAAAAUGACCUCAGCAAAUAUAAAUAGGCCUUACGUGAAAGGUAACAGUGACAUACUAUAUCCCCAAAUCCCUUAGGUGCAUCUAAAGUAGAAUUAUCACAUGCAGUUGAUAACUCUUGGGGUGAUGCUCAACCCAUAGCCUGCCCAUCCUGGGAAUAUCCUCCCCAUUCCACAGAGGUCUGUUUCCAGGACUCAUGUAUGUAGAUGGUGGUUCUAGUCCUGACCAUGGUGCAAUGGAUCAAUUAGUCAGCUAAGAUUUUUCCCUCCGGGAAUUCAGGGAUUUUAGAUACAGCAGUAGCAGUAAGUCUGGUCUGUAACUAGACAUGGUGAUAAGUCAAUUGUAGAAUCUAAUGGAAAGUGAUGCCAAUCUUCAAAAGAACAUUUUCAGACCUAUAAAUGAGACAAUCAGCCUGAGAGAGAGGGAAAGAAGGACUUAGAGACAGAGGCAGAGAAUGAAUAACCAAAUGAAAGAGAGCCUAUAUUACUACUGGCUUCCUCUUCCUGGUUAUAAACCCUCCUCUGGAACAUGGCGAGCUUCUGGAUUGGCUCAGAAUAAAGGUGUCGAUGAAUGGCAUGCUCAAGCCUCCCUAACACAAGCCUGCUCUGGCCAGUGAUAAAUGAUGUCUUUGAUUAGCCUUUCUCUUUCAGCUGCCCCUUUCCAACUCUCAUACUGUUUUUUUUUUUUUUUUUUUAAUCUCUGCCUUACUGAUUUUUCAGCAACUCAUUUCCUACUUAUCUCUAAAGAUCUGGCUUAAGUAUCACCUCCUCAGUGAAGUUUUAUCAAAUUCUGUUAGACAAAGUUAGUCAUUUCUGCACCUGUGUUUUCAUAGUACUUUCCACAUUCCAGAACUUAUAACUAUUUGCUUAUGCAAUUCUCAUCCCUCAAACUAGGAGUGCUUGUGAGUGAAAUUAUAAUAUACUUUUCUUUGAUUCUCUAACAGCUAUCUGUGUCUGACACAUAGUAGGCUCUCAAUCAAUGUUCAUGAAAUGAAUGAAUCAGUGUUGCCAAUUUAGUUGGUGUUAUAUCCUCUGUGAUUUCUUAAAACACGAAGACACUCUUUAAAGUGUUGUGUGCACCCAAUAUUUUGAAGAGAACCUUUUCUUUGGAAGGAACUCUGCCUUCUUGCUCUCUGCCAACACUCAUCUUGAGGCAGGAGCUUUCUAGAAUACUUAUUAUUUUAUAAUUAAGAUAUCUUCAUAAGGAAUGACUCAAUUCCACCUAUAGCUAGGGUCCAUUAGCAAAUAAGGUUUUCUUUCACUCCUAAAUCACUCCUAGAAUUAGUUUAUACUUUGAAACAUUAUAUAGGGUAACUGCUUUGAAAUGCUUCAAAAACUAUUAUGAUUUAGAUUAUUAACAAGAAGCCAUCUACUGUAUUGGUCAAGCUAUCAAGAUACAUUAGUUAUACCAUGAAGCUUCAAACUGAUUUGAAGAAAAGUAUAGAUUAAAAUAGAGGUUUUUUUAGAGAUCCAGAUAAGCCUAAAGUGUAUUAUCAGGAUAAUGAAUGGAACACCUCAUAAAUCCUAAAUUUCAUCAAUGCCAUGUCUCUACCACAUUGGAAUUAAGAUUUAUAGGCUCACUACUGUUAAUCCAGGGGGUAGACAUUUAACUACAACCCAGGCAUACCUUGCAGGGCUAUAGGGCUUUUGCUUUCUUCUUGUUACACAGAAGCAUGACCUAUUGGAUCACCAGAUUUUUUAAAUAUGUACAGAGGGAACAGGAAAGGAGCAAAAGCAAAGGGAUUUUAAAAUUUCUGCAUGUAUGUGUCUUUCUGUCUCUCUUUUUUGUGUGUAUUUUUACAAAAUUAUAUGUAUAAUACACACGUAUACAUAAUCAAGUAUAUAUGUGUGUGUGUAUAUAUAUAUAAAUAUGAAAGAGCUCUUCUGAUUUAUUUUCUUCAACCUUUCAUAAGGUGAAGUUUCAUCAAACCACAUCAUGUGACUCUCCAGGAACCUCACUGAACAGGUCUGACUCAUCGUCUGGGAAUUUUAAAUAGGCAUGUGCUUCCAUGAGAGUUAAUACUUAAAAACACACAUACAAACUGGCAGUGAAAGAGAGAAAG